GAACGCACAUUGCGCCCAUUAGUAUUCUAGUGGGCAUGCCUGCUCGAGCGUCAUUUCAACCCUUAAGCUUAGCUUAGUAUUGGGAAUCUGCUUAACCGCAGCUCCUUAAAUCUAGUUGGCAGAGCACAGCUGUACUCUGAGCGUAGUAAUUCAUUAUCUCGCUUCUGGAAGACAGCCGUACGAUCGCCACAAACCUAUUUAUUUUUUAAUGGUUGACCUCGGAUCAGGUAGGAAUACCCGCUGAACUUAAG
Molecule: unclassified non-coding RNA, 251 nt
Filed under: uncultured Ascomycota
Lineage: Eukaryota; Fungi; Ascomycota
Description: sequence contains 5.8S rRNA gene
Rfam family: 5.8S ribosomal RNA (bases 1-53)
Source: RNAcentral